AGAGUUUGAUCCUGGCUCAGGAUGAACGCUAGCUACAGGCUUAACACAUGCAAGUCGAGGGGCAGCAUGUUGGUUGCUUGCAACCAACGAUGGCGACCGGCGCACGGGUGAGUAACGCGUAUCCAACCUACCCUUGUCCAUCGGAUAACCCGUCGAAAGGCGGCCUAACACGAUAUGCGGUUCACAGCAGGCAUCUAACGUGAACGAAAUGUGAAGGAGAAGGAUGGGGAUGCGUCUGAUUAGCUUGUGGCGGGUAACGCCACAAGGCUACGAUCAGUAGGGUUCUGAGAGGAAGGUCCCCCANAUUGGAACUGAGACACGGUCCAAACUCCGUACGGGAGCA
This 343-nucleotide ribosomal RNA is filed under the name uncultured bacterium. Its description in RNAcentral is "bacterial SSU rRNA". It matches the Rfam family "Bacterial small subunit ribosomal RNA", at positions 8 to 349 of the family's 1533-position model. The record is from RNAcentral.